AUGAAGAUAAAUUUACAUAGUCAUAUAGACGUGGAUCGAUCAUAUGGAGACGCUGUUGGGUAUCCCUUUCCCCGUGAGCCCCUUCUCCUGGCCGGCCACGUCCGGGAACAAGAGCGUGUACGGCACCUUGACCGGCCCCCUCCGGUUCUUGAGCCGCGGGUCCUUGUUCCUCUCCUCCACCCGCCUCUCCACCCGCCGGAGGUCCUCCCGGAACCCGUCCAGCAGGCGCAGCAACUGGCCGUCGUCCGUCCACGUGGACGUGGCGCGCUGCCCGAGGUAGACCUCGUCGGAGGUGUGGUUGGACAGCACCUCGAUGAGCGCCAGCCCCAGCGUGGCGGUGAACCUGUCGGGCACCAUCUCCAGGAAGAACUUCUCCGGGUCGGCCUCCAGCUGCGUCAUCUCCGGCGACCCCGGCAGCGGCACGAACCGGCGGCACCGCGUGGGCCGGUUCGGGGGGAACCCCGCGUAGGCGUACUGCCCGAAGUUGACGGCCGCGUGCAGCGCGGAGGCGAUCCAGACGAGCGUCGACAGCGUCUGGGCGAGGUGGUCGACGGUGUCCAGCGCCAGCCAGCACGCCUGGUCGCCCUGCCGGUCGCCGUGGCCGACGGUGCGCACGUCGUGCCACCACGCCUGCAGCUCCGCGUCGCCGUCCACCUCCUUGUCGCUGUGGUAGAAGUGGGCGCAGUAGCUGCGCACCCACCCGUCGAUGGCGUGCCACACCUCGAGCCCGUCGACGGCGUACGGGUAGUCCUCGAUGUGCAGGGUCAGGCCGCCGGGCUCAUCGGAGCUGGAGGCCACCCCCCUUCAGAUACAAGAAUAACAAUUACAUUACAGCUCGGUAGAUUGCCAUUUGUUCUCCUAAACUUUUCAAAAAGAAAUGGGAGCAAGGAAAUGGUUUGA
RNAcentral lists this ribosomal RNA (900 nucleotides) under Triticum aestivum (bread wheat). RNAcentral describes it as "partial small subunit ribosomal RNA". The record is from RNAcentral. Lineage: Eukaryota; Viridiplantae; Streptophyta; Magnoliopsida; Poales; Poaceae.